UACGUAGGGUGCGAGCGUUAAUCGGAAUUACUGGGCGUAAAGCGUGCGCAGGCGGUUUUGUAAGCCAGAUGUGAAAGCCCCGGGCUCAACCUGGGAAUGGCGAUGGAUACUGGCUCGCUAGAGUGCGGUAGAGGAGAGUGGAAUUCCCGGUGUAGCAGUGAAAUGCGUAGAGAUCGGGAGGAACAUCAGUUGCGAAGGCGGCUCUCUGGACCAGCACUGACACUGAGGCACGAAGGUCAGGGGAGCAAACGGG
This 253-nucleotide ribosomal RNA is filed under the name uncultured bacterium. RNAcentral's name for it is "partial 16S ribosomal RNA". It matches the Rfam family "Bacterial small subunit ribosomal RNA", at positions 524 to 776 of the family's 1533-position model. The record is from RNAcentral.